AUGAGUGCCGCAACCCAUAGUCACCUUUGACUGGACUUAACCAUCCAGGGGUCCUUUACCUUUUACCAUAUGUACCUCAAUCCAGGAUGCAUUGGCUCCGAUAAAAUCAUAAAGAUUUGGUUCAAGAAUGUACUAUUAAUAGUUGAACAUGUAUUUUUCCAGAAAGAGAAACCUGGAACACGUUAAUGGAGUUUUGCAAAAGCUUAAAACAAUUUGCAGUUUCUCAAAAAGAAGAAGAAGAAGAAGAUGUAAAGGGGUGAAAGAGAAUUGAAAUUAUUAAUGCUUUUCAGCAAAGGUAUGGUGCAAUAAUACUUAAUCACACUUGGAUCCCUGCGUGCAACCUAGGACAAUUUAAAGAAGAGAUGUAAGCCUUGGUCUGUUACUCUUUAUUUGCAAUCUAAAUCAUUUCUUCACACUCAUUAGAACAGGGUUCCAAGCACUCUCAUGAACUAGGUGUUACAUACAAUGAUUGCUGAACCAAGGAAAUAUUCUGCCUAUGUAUGUAGCCAAUCCUCAUUUACACAUGCACAGAGCAUUUACUGGUAGAAUGGGGGUCCAACUCUCCCAAAAUGUCUUCUUUAAAAACUGAAAAGGGGGGCCAUGACUAGACAUUGACAUCAGAAUAGUUGUCUAUGGCUUUCGCUCUUGUUUUCUCCUAUUUUAACCCUGUAAAGAAACAAGAAUAUGUUAUUUCACACUGCAGAAUUGGCCCCAUGUUCAACCCGUAGGAUACUAGCUUUGCAAAAAUUAGAGAAUGGCAAAGAACACCAGUAUUGUGCAUAUUAUAAACAUACUGUUUGCUGCUUUCUAUACAACACACAGCUUAUUAAAACAAGUUCACUGUGACAUUGGCAAGUGUAUUUACCAUAUAGAACAGUGAUAUUGCCAAAUCAGUGUAAACAUUUUGGUCAUGGCCUAAUGAAUUUAUUGUCUAGUCAGCUGUAAUUCUUUCAAAAUUAUACUCACAAAAAGUAAGACAAAAUAGUAACUAAAUUAUAAGCAGAACUGUUUGCAUAUGCUUAGUUUAUUAUAUAGGAAUAAAACUAGGAAUAAAAGAAUGGGAAAGGAAAGGUAGGAAACAGUGCUUUUAGGACAAGAAUUGUGAUCUAGGGUAUAUAUGUGCUAUGAUAAGGGGGAGAAGAGAUUUCAAAGGCUGCUGCAACUACUCCAAUAAAAAAAGAUGAGCUUC
Podarcis muralis (Common wall lizard) is the source of this 1189-nucleotide non-coding RNA. The record is from RefSeq and is a predicted model, not a curated record. Lineage: Eukaryota; Metazoa; Chordata; Lepidosauria; Squamata; Lacertidae.